GCUUACGGCCAUACCAGCCUGGGUACGCCCGAUCUCGUCUGAUCUCGGAAGCUAAGCAGGGUCGGGCCUGGUUAGUACUUGGAUGGGAGACCGCCUGGAAAUACCAGGUGCUGUAAGCA
RNAcentral lists this ribosomal RNA (119 nucleotides) under Salmo salar (Atlantic salmon). The record is from RNAcentral. Lineage: Eukaryota; Metazoa; Chordata; Actinopteri; Salmoniformes; Salmonidae.